This 24-nucleotide microRNA is filed under the name Zea mays. RNAcentral's name for it is "microRNA miR-3075". Lineage: Eukaryota; Viridiplantae; Streptophyta; Magnoliopsida; Poales; Poaceae. The record is from RNAcentral.
CGGACAUAAGGUAAUAUCCGACGG